Molecule: ribosomal RNA, 495 nt
Filed under: uncultured bacterium
Lineage: Bacteria
Description: partial 16S ribosomal RNA
Rfam family: Bacterial small subunit ribosomal RNA
Source: RNAcentral
GACGAACGCUGGCGGCGUGCCUAAUACAUGCAAGUAGAACGCUGAAGGAGGAGCUUGCUUCUCUGGAUGAGUUGCGAACGGGUGAGUAACGCGUAGGUAACCUGCCUGGUAGCGGGGGAUAACUAUUGGAAACGAUAGCUAAUACCGCAUAAGAGUAGAUGUUGCAUGACAUUUGCUUAAAAGGUGCAAUUGCAUCACUACCAGAUGGACCUGCGUUGUAUUAGCUAGUUGGUGGGGUAACGGCUCACCAAGGCGACGAUACAUAGCCGACCUGAGAGGGUGAUCGGCCACACUGGGACUGAGACACGGCCCAGACUCCUACGGGAGGCAGCAGGAGGGAAUCUUCGGCAAGGGACGGAAGUCUGACCGAGCAACGCCGCGUGAGUGAAGAAGGUUUUCGGAUCGUAAAGCUCGGUUGUAAGAGAAGAACGAGUGUGAGAGUGGAAAGUUCACACUGUGACGGUAUCUUACCAGAAAGGGACGGCUAACUACGUG